This 424-nucleotide ribosomal RNA is filed under the name uncultured prokaryote. Its description in RNAcentral is "bacterial SSU rRNA". It matches the Rfam family "Bacterial small subunit ribosomal RNA", at positions 355 to 796 of the family's 1533-position model. The record is from RNAcentral.
UGGGGAAUAUUGCACAAUGGGCGAAAGCCUGAUGCAGCAAUGCCGCGUGUGUGAAGAAGGCCUGCGGGUUGUAAAGCACUUUCGGUGGGAAAGAUUAUGACGGUACCCACAGAAGAAGCACCGGCUAACUCCGUGCCAGCAGCCGCGGUAAUACGGAGGGUGCGAGCGUUAAUCGGAAUUACUGGGCGUAAAGCGCGCGUAGGCGGCUAGAUCAGUCGGAUGUGAAAGCCCCGGGCUUAACCUGGGAACUGCAUUCGAUACUGUCUAGCUAGAGUAUGGUAGAGGGAAGUGGAAUUCCGGGUGUAGCGGUGAAAUGCGUAGAUAUCCGGAGGAACACCAGUGGCGAAGGCGGCUUCCUGGACCAAUACUGACGCUGAGGUGCGAAAGCGUGGGGAGCAAACAGGAUUAGAUACCCCCGUAGUCC